UGGGGUGUAGCUCAGUGGUAAAGUGUCUCCCUAGCAUGUAUGAAGCCCUGGGUUCCAUCCCCAGCAGCUCAA
Molecule: transfer RNA, 72 nt
Filed under: Heterocephalus glaber (naked mole-rat)
Lineage: Eukaryota; Metazoa; Chordata; Mammalia; Rodentia; Bathyergidae
Rfam family: tRNA
About the family: Transfer RNA (tRNA) molecules are approximately 80 nucleotides in length. Their secondary structure includes four short double-helical elements and three loops (D, anti-codon, and T loops). Further hydrogen bonds mediate the characteristic L-shaped molecular structure. tRNAs have two regions of fundamental functional importance: the anti-codon, which is responsible for specific mRNA codon recognition, and the 3' end, to which the tRNAs corresponding amino acid is attached (by aminoacyl-tRNA synthetases). tRNAs cope with the degeneracy of the genetic code in two manners: having more than one tRNA (with a specific anti-codon) for a particular amino acid; and 'wobble' base-pairing, i.e. permitting non-standard base-pairing at the 3rd anti-codon position.
Source: Rfam by way of RNAcentral